RNAcentral lists this ribosomal RNA (253 nucleotides) under uncultured bacterium. Its description in RNAcentral is "partial 16S ribosomal RNA". It matches the Rfam family "Bacterial small subunit ribosomal RNA", at positions 524 to 776 of the family's 1533-position model. The record is from RNAcentral.
UACGGAGGGGGCUAGCGUUAUUCGGAAUUAUUGGGCGUAAAGGGCGUGUAGGCGGCCUCGUGUGUCCUAUGUGAAAGCCCUCGGCUUAACCGGGGAACUGCAUAGGAAACUGCAGGGCUUGAGUCCGGGAGAGGAGAGUGGAAUUCCCAGUGUAGCGGUGAAAUGCGUAGAUAUUGGGAGGAACACCAGUGGCGAAGGCGGCUCUCUGGACCGGUACUGACGCUGAGACGCGAAAGCCAGGGGAGCAAACGGG